Molecule: microRNA precursor, 192 nt
Filed under: Oryza brachyantha (malo sina)
Lineage: Eukaryota; Viridiplantae; Streptophyta; Magnoliopsida; Poales; Poaceae
Description: MIR812 microRNA precursor family
Rfam family: MIR812 microRNA precursor family
Source: Rfam by way of RNAcentral
AAUAAGUUCAUUUUUCAGUUUAUGGAUAUAAUGUCUUGACUCUUCGUUUUAUUUGAAAUUUUUUUACGAUUAAUAUUUUUAUUAUUACUAGACGAUAAAAUAUGAAUAGUACUUUAUAUGUGACUAAUUUUUUUAAGUUUUUGUACAAAAUUUUUAAAUAAGAUAAAUGGACAAACAUUGGAUAUAGAAAUC